GAUGAACGCUGGCGGCGUGCCUAAUACAUGCAAGUCGAGCGAACGGACGAGAAGCUUGCUUCUCUGAUGUUAGCGGCGGACGUGUGAGUAACACGUGGAUAACCUACCUAUAAGACUGGGAUAACUUCGGGAAACCGGAGCUAAUACCGUAUAAUAUUUUGAACCGCAUGGUUCAAAAGUGAAAGACGGUCUUGCUGUCACUUAUAGAUGGAUCCGCGCUGCAUUAGCUAGUUGGUAAGGUAACGGCUUACCAAGGCAACGAUGCAUAGCCGACCUGAGAGGGUGAUAGGCCACACUGGAACUGAGACACGGUCCAGACUACUACGGGAGGCAGCAGUAGGGAAUCUUCCGCAAUGGGCGAAAGCAUGACGGAGCAACGCCGCGUGAGUGAUGAAGGUCUUCGGAUCGUAAAACUCUGUUAUUAGGGAAGAACAUAUGUGUAAGUAACUGUGCACAUAUUGACGGUACCUAAUCAGAAAGCCACGGCUAACUACGUG
RNAcentral lists this ribosomal RNA (497 nucleotides) under uncultured bacterium. RNAcentral's name for it is "partial 16S ribosomal RNA". It matches the Rfam family "Bacterial small subunit ribosomal RNA", at positions 28 to 507 of the family's 1533-position model. The record is from RNAcentral.